UACGUAGGGGGCAAGCGUUAUCCGGAUUUACUGGGUGUAAAGGGCGCGUAGAUGGGAAAAUAAGUUAGUAGUGAAAUAUCAAGGCUCAACCUUGAUGCUGCUAUUAAAACUGUUUUUCUUGAGUGCAGGAGAGGAAAGUGGAAUUCCUAGUGUAGCGGUGGAAUGCGUAGAUAUUAGGAGGAACACCAGUGGCGAAGGCGACUUUCUGGACUGCAACUGACAUUGAGGCGCGAAAGCGUGGGGAG
Molecule: ribosomal RNA, 245 nt
Filed under: uncultured bacterium
Lineage: Bacteria
Description: partial 16S ribosomal RNA
Rfam family: Bacterial small subunit ribosomal RNA
Source: RNAcentral